Uranotaenia lowii is the source of this 504-nucleotide long non-coding RNA. RefSeq lists it as uncharacterized. The transcript is spliced from 2 exons. NCBI's taxonomy places the organism in Eukaryota, Metazoa, Arthropoda, Insecta, Diptera, Culicidae. The record is from RefSeq and is a predicted model, not a curated record.
CACUUAGCAAAAUUUGGCUGUUACUUUCCCUUAGCAAAAAUAUUUUUUUACUGUUGAGUUAUCAAAAAGUUCAAUUUACUUGAUUUUAGCAAUAAAAAGGUUCAUUUUACUUGAUUUGAGCAAAACAAAAUUUUUCUAGCCGCUUUGUUUAUGGACAGCAGCCGCCGCCGGUUGAUCAAUAAAAUAACAACUUGACGCGAUUAAGUGCGGUUCCGGAGUUCGAUGCUGACGGUUCUCGUUGUGGCUAAGUAAACGACAAAAUGAUAGCCAAAUCGACACCGGAUUCGGACAGGUUACAACUGGCAGCGAAAACGACAGAUUUAAGCAACUGUCCGGAAAUUUUGAGGGUUGCAUCCGGCGAAUUCGUUAGUUAAGGUCGGAAACUUGGCAUUUCCCUUGCCGGAAGGUACAUUUCCAGAACGGUACUAAUUUAAUUACAUUUUACAAAAAAGUGUUUAAUAAUGUCACGAAAAAAGUAUGAAAAAUAAACUAAAAGUUUAAUGA